GUUCCCAUACCGAACACGGAAGUUAAGCUCUUCAGCGCCGAUGGUAGUUGGGGGUCUCCCCCUGUGAGAGUAGGACGCCGCCAAGC
Molecule: ribosomal RNA, 86 nt
Filed under: Bacillus pumilus
Lineage: Bacteria; Bacillati; Bacillota; Bacilli; Caryophanales; Bacillaceae
Source: RNAcentral